Molecule: ribosomal RNA, 427 nt
Filed under: uncultured bacterium
Lineage: Bacteria
Description: bacterial SSU rRNA
Rfam family: Bacterial small subunit ribosomal RNA
Source: RNAcentral
AACGCGAAGAACCUUACCAAGUCUUGACAUCCUCUGGCGAGUACAGAAAUGUGCUUUUCCUUCGGGACAGAGAGACAGGUGGUGCAUGGUUGUCGUCAGCUCGUGUCGUGAGAUGUUGGGUUAAGUCCCGCAACGAGCGCAACCCUUAUGGAUAGUUACUACGCAAGAGGACUCUAUUCAGACUGCCGUUGACAAAACGGAGGAAGGUGGGGAUGACGUCAAAUCAUCAUGCCCUUUAUGACUUGGGCUACACACGUACUACAAUGGCGUUCAACAAAGAGAAGCGAAGCCGCGAGGCAGAGCAAAACUCAAAAACAACGUCCCAGUUCAGAUUGCAGGCUGCAACUCGCCUGCAUGAAGUCGGAAUUGCUAGUAAUCGCAGAUCAGCAUGCUGCGGUGAAUACGUUCCCGGGUCUUGUACACACCG